This 75-nucleotide transfer RNA is filed under the name Candidatus Methanophagales archaeon ANME-1-THS. RNAcentral's name for it is "Methanophagales archaeon ANME-1-THS tRNA-Pro". It matches the Rfam family "tRNA". From Rfam's summary of the family: Transfer RNA (tRNA) molecules are approximately 80 nucleotides in length. Their secondary structure includes four short double-helical elements and three loops (D, anti-codon, and T loops). Lineage: Archaea; Methanobacteriati; Methanobacteriota; Methanomicrobia; Candidatus Methanophagales. The record is from RNAcentral.
GGGGUUGUAGGGUAGCCAGGUCUAUCCUUCGGCGUUCGGGACGCCGAGACCUGAGUUCAAAUCUCAGCAACCCCA